This 1441-nucleotide ribosomal RNA is filed under the name uncultured organism. Its description in RNAcentral is "16S ribosomal RNA". It matches the Rfam family "Bacterial small subunit ribosomal RNA". The record is from RNAcentral.
UGCUUAACACAUGCAAGUCGAACGGAAAGGCCCUGCUUUUGUGGGGUGCUCGAGUGGCGAACGGGUGAGUAACACGUGAGUAACCUGCCCUUGACUUUGGGAUAACUUCAGGAAACUGGGGCUAAUACCGGAUAGGAGCUCCUGCUGCAUGGUGGGGGUUGGAAAGUUUCGGCGGUUGGGGAUGGACUCGCGGCUUAUCAGCUUGUUGGUGGGGUAGUGGCUUACCAAGGCUUUGACGGGUAGCCGGCCUGAGAGGGUGACCGGCCACAUUGGGACUGAGAUACGGCCCAGACUCCUACGGGAGGCAGCAGUGGGGAAUAUUGCACAAUGGGCUGAAGCCUGAUGCAGCAACGCCGCGUGCGGGAUGACGGCCUUCGGGUUGUAAACCGCUUUCGCCUGUGACGAAGCGUGAGUGACGGUAAUGGGUAAAGAAGCACCGGCUAACUACGUGCCAGCAGCCGCGGUGAUACGUAGGGUGCGAGCGUUGUCCGGAUUUAUUGGGCGUAAAGGGCUCGUAGGUGGUUGAUCGCGUCGGAAGUGUAAUCUUGGGGCUUAACCCUGAGCGUGCUUUCGAUACGGGUUGACUUGAGGAAGGUAGGGGAGAAUGGAAUUCCUGGUGGAGCGGUGGAAUGCGCAGAUAUCAGGAGGAACACCAGUGGCGAAGGCGGUUCUCUGGGCCUUUCCUGACGCUGAGGAGCGAAAGCGUGGGGAGCGAACAGGCUUAGAUACCCUGGUAGUCCACGCUGUAAACGGUGGGUACUAGGUGUGGGGUCCAUUCCACGGGUUCCGUGCCGUAGCUAACGCUUUAAGUACCCCGCCUGGGGAGUACGGCCGCAAGGCUAAAACUCAAAGGAAUUGACGGGGCCCCGCACAAGCGGCGGAGCAUGCGGAUUAAUUCGAUGCAACGCGUAGAACCUUACCUGGGUUUGACAUGGAUCGGGAGUGCUCAGAGAUGGGUGUGCCUCUUUUGGGGUCGGUUCACAGGUGGUGCAUGGCUGUCGUCAGCUCGUGUCGUGAGAUGUUGGGUUAAGUCCCGCAACGAGCGCAACCCUUGUUCACUGUUGCCAGCACGUUAUGGUGGGGACUCAGUGGAGACCGCCGGGGUCAACUCGGAGGAAGGUGGGGAUGACGUCAAGUCAUCAUGCCCCUUAUGUCCAGGGCUUCACGCAUGCUACAAUGGCUGGUACAGAGAGUGGCGAGCCUGUGAGGGUGAGCGAAUCUCGGAAAGCCGGUCUCAGUUCGGAUUGGGGUCUGCAACUCGACCUCAUGAAGUCGGAGUCGCUAGUAAUCGCAGAUCAGCAACGCUGCGGUGAAUACGUUCCCGGGGCUUGUACACACCGCCCGUCAAGUCAUGAAAGUUGGUAACACCCGAAGCCGGUGGCCUAACCGUUGUGGGGGAGCCGUCGAAGGUGGGACUGGUGAUUAGGACUAAGUCAUAACA